RNAcentral lists this transfer RNA (84 nucleotides) under Erysipelotrichaceae bacterium. Its description in RNAcentral is "tRNA-Tyr". It matches the Rfam family "tRNA". From Rfam's summary of the family: Transfer RNA (tRNA) molecules are approximately 80 nucleotides in length. Their secondary structure includes four short double-helical elements and three loops (D, anti-codon, and T loops). Further hydrogen bonds mediate the characteristic L-shaped molecular structure. tRNAs have two regions of fundamental functional importance: the anti-codon, which is responsible for specific mRNA codon recognition, and the 3' end, to which the tRNAs corresponding amino acid is attached (by aminoacyl-tRNA synthetases). tRNAs cope with the degeneracy of the genetic code in two manners: having more than one tRNA (with a specific anti-codon) for a particular amino acid; and 'wobble' base-pairing, i.e. permitting non-standard base-pairing at the 3rd anti-codon position. The record is from RNAcentral. Lineage: Bacteria; Bacillati; Bacillota; Erysipelotrichia; Erysipelotrichales; Erysipelotrichaceae.
GGGAGAAUAGCGAAGUGGCCAAACGCGGCUGACUGUAAAUCAGUUCCUUAGGGUUCGAUGGUUCAAAUCCACCUUCUCCCACCA